CCCAGGGCUAAAGCCCUGGGUUACUUUCGCUUGUCCCUUCGGGACG
Candidatus Fischerbacteria bacterium RBG_13_37_8 is the source of this 46-nucleotide non-coding RNA. NCBI's taxonomy places the organism in Bacteria, Candidatus Fischeribacteriota. The record is from Rfam.